RNAcentral lists this ribosomal RNA (500 nucleotides) under uncultured bacterium. RNAcentral describes it as "partial 16S ribosomal RNA". It matches the Rfam family "Bacterial small subunit ribosomal RNA", at positions 30 to 523 of the family's 1533-position model. The record is from RNAcentral.
AUUGAACGCUGGCGGCAUGCCUUACACAUGCAAGUCGAACGGCAGCGGGGACUUCGGUCCGCCGGCGAGUGGCGAACGGGUGAGUAAUGUAUCGGAACGUACCAUUGAGUGGGGGAUAACUAUCCGAAAGGAUAGCUAAUACCGCAUAUUCUCUCCGAAGGAAAGCAGGGGACCGCAAGGCCUUGCGCGCAUUGAGCGGCCGCUAUAAGAUUAGCUAGUUGGUGAGGUAAAGGCUCACCAAGGCGACGAUCUGUAGCGGGUCUGAGAGGAAGAUCCGCCACACUGGAACUGAGACACGGUCCAGACUCCUACGGGAGGCAGCAGUGGGGAAUUUUGGACAAUGGGGGCAACCCUGAUCCAGCCAUGCCGCGUGAGUGAAGAAGGCCUUCGGGUUGUAAAGCUCUUUCGGCCGGGAAAAAAUCGCAUGGGUUAAUACCCUGUGUGGAUGAUGGUACCGGAAUAAGAAGCACCGGCUAACUACGUGCCAGCAGCCGCCGUAA